GCUUUUUUUAUUUUUAGAUGAUAUAUCUUCCUUCCUCUAGCUUGAGAAAUCCUUGCUUGAGCAAGAAUCAGAAAGAUUCGUCUUUUCAAUUUUCACCUGGGAUUCUUCUAUCUUCUACAUUUUUCGCUUUUGCCUCUUACUUACCAUGUUCUUACUAUUAUAUUUUUUCACUUUUUCUCGAACGCCUUUGUCCCAUACCAUGUUAGUGAAGAAAAAUACUGCUUAUUGUUUUGGAUCUCUCGCAGAUCGUUUUGUCACUGAACCAUUAAUCUAAAGGGUUGAAGAGGAAGAAUGCGAAGAGUUUCUCCGAUUGUGACUUUAUAGGGUGCUUUUCUUCCAUUGGGUCCUGCACUGAAGGUUACAAAUAGCUGAGUUGCGUUAGAUUUGAAAUUAUGAUAAAACAGAUACUUGGUAAGCUUCCAAGGAAGCCAUCUAAGUCAGCUGACCAUCGUGAAUUUGCUGGUUCAUCAUCGGCCUCGUUGCUCCAAACUACUGGUUCUAGAGCUGCUGAUGUUGUGAGUAGUGGACCAGUGAGUUCAAAUAUUACGUUUCUUCCUGGCUCAGAAGCUGCUCCCAGUUCAGCAUAUGGUCAAGGAAGUAAUGUCCCUUCAAUUGCAAACUCACGAGUGAAUGGUAGUGUGGUAAUUACUCCUUACGAAGCAUUGCCAGGGUUUAGGGAUGUCCCAAACUCUGAAAAGCAAAACUUAUUCAUCAAAAAACUGAAUAUGUGCAGUGUAGUGUUUGACUUCACUGACUCCUCAAAGCAUAUGAAAGAAAAGGAAAUCAAAAGACAGACAUUGCUUGAGCUGGUGGAAUAUGUUACCUCUGUAAAUGCCAAAUUUAAUGAAACUGUCAUGCAAGAGAUUAUCAAGAUGGUAUCUGUAAAUUUGUUCAGAUCGCCUAAUGUGCAGCCCCGUGAGAACAAGGUUUCUGAAGCCUUUGAUCUGGAAGAUGAGGAACCUCUGAUGGACCCUGCUUGGUCUCACUUACAGAUUGUGUAUGAAUUUUUUCUUAGGUUUGUUGCAUCCCCAGAAACAGAUGCAAAGCUAGCAAAGAGGUACAUAGAUCACUCUUUUGUUCUCAGAUUGUUGGAUCUCUUUGAUUCUGAGGACCCAAGAGAGAGGGAGUAUCUGAAAACAAUCCUGCAUCGGAUUUAUGGGAAGUUUAUGGUGCAUCGCCCAUUUAUUAGGAAAUCUAUUAAUAAUAUCUUCUUCCGUUUUAUUUUUGAAACGGAGAAAUUUAAUGGGAUAGCUGAGCUUCUAGAGGUACUGGGAAGUAUAAUUAAUGGGUUUGCUCUGCCACUAAAGGAAGAGCACAAAUUGUUUCUUGUCCGUGCUUUAAUCCCUCUUCACAAGCCAAAGUGCUUAGCUAUGUACCAUCAGCAGUUGUCAUACUGUAUCACGCAGUUUGUGGAAAAAGACAGCAAGCUUGCUGACACUGUGAUUAGGGGUUUGCUGAAGUACUGGCCUAUCACUAAUAGUUCAAAGGAAGUCAUGUUCCUUGGUGAGCUUGAGGAAAUACUGGAGGCGACUCAGCUUGUAGAAUUCCAAAGAUGCAUGGUACCCUUAUUCCGCCAAAUCGCCCGUUGCUUGAGUAGCUCACACUUUCAGGUUGCAGAGAGAGCCCUGUAUUUGUGGAACAAUGAGCACAUUGAGAAUUUAAUUCGACAAAACCGGAAAGUAAUCCUGCCUAUUAUCUUCCCUGCCUUGGAGAAAAGCGGACGUGCCCACUGGAGUCAGGGCGUCCAGAACCUGACACUAAAUGUUCGCAAGAUUUUCUCUGAUGUCGAUCCUGAGUUCUUUGAAGAGUGCUUGCAUAAGUUUCAAGAGGAAGAAGCAAAAUUAGAAGAGGGGAAAACAAAACACGAAGCCAUGUGGAAGCGAUUAGAAGAGAUUGCUGCUACAAAAUCUGCUAGUAGUGAGGCUAUCCUUGUCCCUACAGCUACAGCCACCCAAACAUCUUAAAAGAAACAAGUUCCGUGGUUUCUUAUUCUCUUAUUUUUCUGGCUGGCAUGCUGGCAUUAAUGGUUCAUGUGCUUCAGGAGGUUAGAUUCUCAUCUGGUAGUUGCUGAUUUUCUUUGCUGUUUGUACCUGUAAGUUUUAAGUUUCUGAGAUUUGAAUGGAUGCUUAUGGGAGACAAAGUACAUUAUGCAAUGCAGGGAAUUGGCUAGUUGGUUUUGAAUUUUGGCUUAUCCCAUUCAUAUACCAAUGGGGUUAUUAGGGAGAAGCAGAUAUAGUUCUGAGCUAUUGCUUGCAGGUACGGAUUCGAUCCCAUGGGAAGUGCCACCGUAAGGCACCCUUUGUGCCACUGCACCAUAAAGGUGCUGGCAGCUACAAUUAGCAUUAAUCACUCUCUGAGUUCACUUUGCAUUAAUCACUAGUUUGAGUUUACUUUGAACAAAAUGAUCAAUAAACUUUUCAAACUUCCUGGGUUAGCACUUGGAAUGCACCGCAAGGAUUCUGUAGUUUACUGAAAAAGGCCAAGUUAUUCUUACCUCCUGUAUGGUUUAGGGUUUUCAG
Neltuma alba is the source of this 2519-nucleotide RNA transcript. It is a transcript of the gene named serine/threonine protein phosphatase 2A 59 kDa regulatory subunit B' eta isoform, with no coding region annotated. Lineage: Eukaryota; Viridiplantae; Streptophyta; Magnoliopsida; Fabales; Fabaceae. The transcript is spliced from 4 exons. The record is from RefSeq and is a predicted model, not a curated record.